This 238-nucleotide ribosomal RNA is filed under the name Drosophila putrida. RNAcentral's name for it is "partial 28S ribosomal RNA". The record is from RNAcentral. Lineage: Eukaryota; Metazoa; Arthropoda; Insecta; Diptera; Drosophilidae.
ACGUCAGAACUGUUUCGGUCUUCCAUCAGGGUUUCCCCUGACUUCAACCUGAUCAAGUAUAGUUCACCAUCUUUCGGGUCACAGCAUAUCUGCUCAAGGUACGUUCCAGUUAGAGGUAUAAAUAAUAUAAAUAUCAUCAUACAUAACUAUAUAGAACGCCCCGGGAUUGUGUUAAUUAACUAUAAAUAGUUAAAAAACUAAUCCCAUUAAUAGUCAAGUUAAUUACGCUAUUAGGUUU